UACGUAGGGGGCUAGCGUUGUCCGGAAUCAUUGGGCGUAAAGAGCGUGUAGGCGGUCCGGUAAGUCCGCUGUGAAAGUCGGGGGCUCAACCCUCGAAUGCCGGUGGAUACUGUCGGGCUAGAGUCCGGAAGAGGAGAGUGGAAUUCCUGGUGUAGCGGUGAAAUGCGCAGAUAUCAGGAAGAACACCGAUGGCGAAGGCAGCUCUCUGGGACGGUACUGACGCUGAGACGCGAAAGCGUGGGGAGCGAACAGG
Molecule: ribosomal RNA, 253 nt
Filed under: uncultured bacterium
Lineage: Bacteria
Description: partial 16S ribosomal RNA
Rfam family: Bacterial small subunit ribosomal RNA
Source: RNAcentral